GGGGGGGACGUUAUCGGAUUUCUGGGCGUAAGCGCGCGUAGGCGGCUAAUUAAGUCAAAUGUGAAAUCCCCGAGCUUAACUUGGGAAUUGCAUUCGAUACUGGUUAGCUAGAGUGUGGGAGAGGAUGGUAGAAUUCCAGGUGUAGCGGUGAAAUGCGUAGAGAUCUGGAGGAAUACCGAUGGCGAAGGCAGCCAUCUGGCCUAACACUGACGCUGAGGUGCGAAAGCAUGGGGAGCAAACAGGAUUAGAUACCCUGGUAGUCCAUGCCGUAAACGAUGUCUACUAGCCGUUGGGGCCUUUGAGGCUUUAGUGGCGCAGCUAACGCGAUAAGUAGACCGCCUGGGGAGUACGGUCGCAAGACUAAAACUCAAAUGAAUUGACGGGGGCCCGCACAAGCGGUGGAGCAUGUGGUUUAAUUCGAUGCAACGCGAAGAACCUUACCUGGCCUUGACAUAGUAAGAACUUUCCAGAGAUGGAUUGGUGCCUUCGGGAACUUACAUACAGGUGCUGCAUGGCUGUCGUCAGCUCGUGUCGUGAGAUGUUGGGUUAAGUCCCGCAACGAGCGCAACCCUUUUCCUUAUUUGCCAGCGAGUAAUGUCGGGAACUUUAAGGAUACUGCCAGUGACAAACUGGAGGAAGGCGGGGACGACGUCAAGUCAUCAUGGCCCUUACGGCCAGGGCUACACACGUGCUACAAUGGUCGGUACAAAGGGUUGCUACCUAGCGAUAGGAUGCUAAUCUCAAAAAGCCGAUCGUAGUCCGGAUUGGAGUCUGCAACUCGACUCCAUGAAGUCGGAAUCGCUAGUAAUCGCGGAUCAGAAUGCCGCGGUGAAUACGUUCCCGGGCCUUGUACACACCGCCCGUCACACCAUGGGGAGUUUGUUGCACCAGAAGUAGCUAGCCUAACUGCAAAGAGGGCGGUUACCACGGUGUGGCCGAUGACUGGGGUGAAGCCUAAGGGGGGAACCCCUAUAAAACAAAAAAAAUUCCG
Molecule: ribosomal RNA, 991 nt
Filed under: Acinetobacter calcoaceticus
Lineage: Bacteria; Pseudomonadati; Pseudomonadota; Gammaproteobacteria; Moraxellales; Moraxellaceae
Also listed under: 1 other name
Description: bacterial SSU rRNA
Rfam family: Bacterial small subunit ribosomal RNA
Source: RNAcentral